UACAUAGGGUGCAAGCGUUGUCCGGAAUUAUUGGGCGUAAAGAGCUCGUAGGUCGUUUGUUACGUCGGAUGUGAAAACCUGAGGCUCAACCUCAGGCCUGCAUUCGAUACGGGCAAACUAGAGUUUGGUAGGGGAGACUGGAAUUCCUGGUGUAGCGGUGGAAUGCGCAGAUAUCAGGAGGAACACCAAUGGCGAAGGCAGGUCUCUGGGCCAAUACUGACACUGAGGAGCGAAAGUCUGGGGAGCGAACAGGAUUAGAUACCCUGGUAGUCCAGACCGUAAACGGUGGGCACUAGUUGUGGGAACCUUCCACGGUUUCUGCGACGCAGCUAACGCAUUAAGUGCCCCGCCUGGGGAGUACGAUCGCAAGAUUAAAACUCAAAGGAAUUGACGGGGCCCCGCACAAGCAGCGGAGCAUGCGGCUUAAUUCGACGCAACGCGAAGAACCUUACCAAGGCUUGACAUAUAGGGAAAAGUGGCAGAGAUGUCAUGUCCGCAAGGGCUCUAUACAGGUGGUGCAUGGUUGUCGUCAGCUCGUGUCGUGAGAUGUUGGGUUAAGUCCCGCAACGAGCGCAACCCUCGUUCUGUGUUGCCAGCAUUUAGUUGGGGACUCACAGGAGACUGCCGGGGUUAACUCGGAGGAAGGUGGGGAUGACGUCAAAUCAUCAUGCCCCUUAUGUCUUGGGCUGCACGCAUGCUACAAUGGCCGGUACAGAGGGCUGCAAUACCGUAAGGUGGAGCGAAUCCCAAAAAGCCGGUCUCAGUUCGGAUUGAGGUCUGCAACUCGACCUCAUGAAGUUGGAGUUGCUAGUAAUCGUAGGUCAGCAACGCUACGGUGAAUACGUUCCCGGGGCU
Molecule: ribosomal RNA, 855 nt
Filed under: uncultured bacterium
Lineage: Bacteria
Description: SSU rRNA
Rfam family: Bacterial small subunit ribosomal RNA
Source: RNAcentral